GACGAACGCUGGCGGCGUGCCUAAUACAUGCAAGUAGAACGCUGAAGGAGGAGCUUGCUUCUCUGGAUGAGUUGCGAACGGGUGAGUAACGCGUAGGUAACCUGCCUGGUAGCGGGGGAUAACUAUUGGAAACGAUAGCUAAUACCGCAUAAUAGAAGAUGUUGCAUGACAUUUGAUUAAAAGAUGCAAUUGCAUCACUACUAGAUGGACGUGCGUUGUAUUAGCUAGUUGGUGGGGUAGCGGCUCACCAAGGAGACGAUACAUAGCCGACCUGGGAGGGGUAUCGGCCAACCUGGGACUGAGACACGGCCCAGACUCCUACGGGAGGCAGCAGUAGGGGAUCCUUGGCAAUUGAGGGAAGGCUUACCGAGGAACGCCGCGGGAGUGAAGAAGGGUCUCGGGUCCGAAAGCUCCGUUGUAAGGGAAGAACGAGUGUGGGAGUGGAAAGUGCACACUGUGACGGUACCUUACCAGAAAGGGACGGCUAACUACGUG
This 495-nucleotide ribosomal RNA is filed under the name uncultured bacterium. Its description in RNAcentral is "partial 16S ribosomal RNA". It matches the Rfam family "Bacterial small subunit ribosomal RNA", at positions 28 to 507 of the family's 1533-position model. The record is from RNAcentral.